This 565-nucleotide long non-coding RNA is filed under the name Anser cygnoides (Swan goose). RNAcentral's name for it is "lncRNA (ENSACDG00005016023.1)". The record is from RNAcentral. Lineage: Eukaryota; Metazoa; Chordata; Aves; Anseriformes; Anatidae.
AUGGACGAGGAGUUGAACCCAGUUUAUGGAGUAGUCUUGCAAAGUGAAGUCCUGUUCCACACUAACAGAAGCAACACCAAAAGCACUGCUGCAAGGAGCCGCCGGGAGCUCCAGGCUGAAGAGACCUGCCUCCCCUGGGAGACCUCUGCUAAAGGUGAAGACCUCCAAGCAGACCAGGCAGAUUUAGCAGGAGCUCAGGAAUUUUACAUCAAGAGCCCCCUGGAGCAUUACAGCCUACCAUUCAGAGCCUGGACAAGAGCUUGGCCUUGCACUUUUACAGAUCGCUGCCUGUAGCGGAGCACAAAGGGAGCGGCGAGACUCCCACGUCUUUCAGCGAGAAGAAAGGAGGCAGCGGAGCAGACUAACGCGGGCUUGCGUCUGGUGGCCUGGCGGUACAAAGGCUGCCUUUAAAAGAGAAGCGCAGCGUUAUUUAAUGAGCUGUGAGAUGAGGAGGCGCUGCUGCUAACGCUCAGAUCCCGGGAUUCAUCGGCUAUUCAUUGUGCUUAAUGUACAUGUUUCUACACCGUGCAUUUAGGAGAUCCCAGAGAAGAAUCCAAAACGGCUG